ACGAACGCUGGCGGCGUGCUUAACACAUGCAAGUCGAACGGAAAGGCCCUGCUUUUGUGGGGUGCUCGAGUGGCGAACGGGUGAGUAACACGUGAGUAACCUGCCCUUGACUUUGGGAUAACUUCAGGAAACUGGGGCUAAUACCGGAUAGGAGCUCCUGCUGCAUGGUGGGGGUUGGAAAGUUUCGGCGGUUGGGGAUGGACUCGCGGCUUAUCAGCUUGUUGGUGGGGUAGUGGCUUACCAAGGCUUUGACGGGUAGCCGGCCUGAGAGGGUGACCGGCCACAUUGGGACUGAGAUACGGCCCAGACUCCUACGGGAGGCAGCAGUGGGGAAUAUUGCACAAUGGGCGGAAGCCUGAUGCAGAAACGCCGCGUGCGGGAUGACGGCCUUCGGGUUGUAAACCGCUUUCGCCUGUGACGAAGCGUGAGUGACGGUAAUGGGUAAAGAAGCACCGGCUAACUACGUG
This 467-nucleotide ribosomal RNA is filed under the name uncultured bacterium. Its description in RNAcentral is "partial 16S ribosomal RNA". It matches the Rfam family "Bacterial small subunit ribosomal RNA", at positions 29 to 507 of the family's 1533-position model. The record is from RNAcentral.